UACGAAGGGGGCUAGCGUUGCUCGGAAUCACUGGGCGUAAAGCGCGUGUAGGCGGCUCGGUAAGUCUGCUCUGAAAGCCCGGGGCUCAACCCUGGGAGGCGGGUGGAUACUGCUGAGCUCGAGUCCGGAAGAGGCGAGUGGAAUUCCUGGUGUAGCGGUGAAAUGCGCAGAUAUCAGGAGGAACACCGGUGGCGAAGGCGGGUCUCUGGGCCGAUACUGACGCUGAGGAGCGAAAGCGUGGGGAGCGAACAGG
Molecule: ribosomal RNA, 253 nt
Filed under: uncultured bacterium
Lineage: Bacteria
Description: partial 16S ribosomal RNA
Rfam family: Bacterial small subunit ribosomal RNA
Source: RNAcentral